CCCCCUCAAGAUGAGAUUUCCCAAUUCGUAAGACCCCUUGAAGACGACGAGGUUGAUAGGCUGGGGGUGGAAGCACAGCAAUGUGUGGAGCUGACCAGUACUAAUCGGUCGAGGGCUUAUCCUAA
RNAcentral lists this ribosomal RNA (125 nucleotides) under Paenibacillus sp. NEAU-GSW1. Its description in RNAcentral is "partial 23S ribosomal RNA". It matches the Rfam family "Bacterial large subunit ribosomal RNA", at positions 2794 to 2925 of the family's 2925-position model. Lineage: Bacteria; Bacillati; Bacillota; Bacilli; Caryophanales; Paenibacillaceae. The record is from RNAcentral.